Molecule: ribosomal RNA, 516 nt
Filed under: uncultured bacterium
Lineage: Bacteria
Description: partial 16S ribosomal RNA
Rfam family: Bacterial small subunit ribosomal RNA
Source: RNAcentral
GACGAACGCUGGCGGCGUGCCUAACACAUGCAAGUCGAACGGAGUGUUUAUUUAUAAACACUUAGUGGCGAACGGGUGAGUAGCGCGUAGACAACCUACCCUCUAGAUGGGGACAACACCGCGAAAGUGGUGCUAAUACCGAAUGUUGUAAUGUUAUUGCAUAAUGAUAUUACUAUAGGUGGCCUCUAUAUAAAAGCUACCGCUAGAAGAUGGGUCUGCGUCUGAUUAGCUAGUUGGUGAGAUAACAGCUCACCAAGGCAAUGAUCAGUAGCCGGUCUGAGAGGAUGAACGGCCACACUGGGACUGAGACACGGCCCAGACUCCUACGGGAGGCAGCAGUGGGGAAUCUUCCGCAAUGGACGAAAGUCUGACGGAGCAACGCCGCGUGAGUGAAGUAGGUUUUCGGAUCGUAAAGCUCUGUCUUCAAGGACGAAUGUAGAUAUUGUGAAUAAUGAUAUUUAAUGACGGUACUUGAGGAGGAAGCCACGGCUAACUACGUGCCAGCCGCCGCGGUAA